Molecule: ribosomal RNA, 434 nt
Filed under: uncultured Lachnospiraceae bacterium
Lineage: Bacteria; Bacillati; Bacillota; Clostridia; Lachnospirales; Lachnospiraceae
Description: partial 16S ribosomal RNA
Rfam family: Bacterial small subunit ribosomal RNA
Source: RNAcentral
ACGGGAGGCAGCAGUGGGGAAUAUUGGACAAUGGGGGCAACCCUGAUCCAGCGACGCCGCGUGAGUGAAGAAGUAUUUCGGUAUGUAAAGCUCUAUCAGCAGGGAAGAUAAUGACGGUACCUGAGUAAGAAGCCCCGGCUACCUACGUGCCAGCAGCCGCGGCAAUACGUAGGGGGCAAGCGUUAUCCGGAUUUACUGGGUGUAAAGGGAGCGUAGACGGCAGGGGAAGUCUGAUGUGAAAGCCCGGGGCUCAACCCCGGGACUGCAUUGGAAACUGUCCGGCUAGAGUGCAGGAGAGGUAAGUGGAAUGCCUAGUGUAGCGGUGAAAUGCGUAGAUAUUAGGAGGAACACCAGUGGCGAAGGCGGCUUACUGGACUGUAACUGACGUUGAGGCUCGAAAGCGUGGGUAGCAAACAGGAUUAGAUACCCUGGUA